GAUGAACGCUGGCGGCGUGCCUAACACAUGCAAGUCGAGCGGCAGCGAGGGGUGCUUGCACCCUGUCGGCGAGCGGCGGACGGCUGAGUAACGCGUGGGAACGUGCCCCAAAGUGAGGAAUAACUGCCCGAAAGGGUAGCUAAUACCGCAUAUUAUCUUCGGAUCAAAGGAUUUAUCCGCUUUGGGAGCGGCUCGCGUCGGAUUAGGUAGUUGGUGAGGUAAUGGCUCACCAAGCCGACGAUCCGUAGCUGGUCUGAGAGGAUGACCAGCCAGACUGGAACUGAGACACGGUCCAGACUCCUACGGGAGGCAGCAGUGAGGAAUCUUCCACAAUGGGCGAAAGCCUGAUGGAGCAACGCCGCGUGCAGGACGAAGGCCUUCGGGUUGUAAUCUGCUUUUAUAAGUGAGGAAUAUGACGGUAACUUAUGAAUAAGGAUCGGCUAACUACGUG
RNAcentral lists this ribosomal RNA (451 nucleotides) under uncultured bacterium. RNAcentral describes it as "partial 16S ribosomal RNA". It matches the Rfam family "Bacterial small subunit ribosomal RNA", at positions 28 to 507 of the family's 1533-position model. The record is from RNAcentral.